RNAcentral lists this long non-coding RNA (1344 nucleotides) under Triticum aestivum (bread wheat). RNAcentral describes it as "long non-coding RNA (TAES_LNC015405)". The record is from RNAcentral. Lineage: Eukaryota; Viridiplantae; Streptophyta; Magnoliopsida; Poales; Poaceae.
UAGCUCAUUUGCAAAAUGAAAUUCAUAUAUUAUGUUGAAAAGAUGACAUUUGUUCCGACAAACAUGGUGGAACCCCAACUUCAUUUAAUUAAAAUGAAACCACAUCAUAGCCAAUUACAAAUCUGUACACUAACAUCUACCUAUGGCAGUUCAUAGAAAGCAAAAAUUGAGUACAAAAAUGAAGUUCCAAACAUUCCAGCACCAUACAAAAUCUAACCAGAAACUACAUGUUUUAAGCUUCAGGAAGGUGUCCAUAGCUCCAGAUCACUCCAUAAGGGCAUCAUCCACGAAUGACAUGAAUCGACGGAUGCUUUUCUAUGGCAAUAGAUUGAGCGCCAUGCAGCUCCCCUCUUCAUAUGAACAGGAUGUCUUGGCUUGCUGAAAGAGACAAUUUGGAUGCAACUAGAACACUAGCUUGUCACAACAAGCAUUUUUUUCUAGAGAGUAACUUGCAGCUGAACAUGCAGAUCAUACCUGAAAAAAAGGAACAUCUUUUUUCAUAUGGACAUCCAAAACAAAAAGGUCAACAAAAUGAUCUGGUUGGACAAAAAUAAAUCUUAUGCUGAAUAGAAUUUCGAGGAUACUAGUUAAGAUCACUAAAAAAAGAUACUGUACAUAUGAGAACAUGUCUAUAACUCCUAAAAUCGUUACUGAGUAUUGAUUACAAAAAAAAUUGUCCUUACUUGCUGCCAUUAUUCUUAUUUGCUGCUAUUGGUUCAAGCUUUUCUUCAUAUUAAUGUUUGUUCUUCAUUCCUGCAAGCUGUUAUGCUACAUAAAUUUUUAAAAGAAGCAGAGUAUAGCUAACCUGAAUUUGUUAUGGAGCAAUAUAAUUGAAGAAUCAUCUAAUCAGAUCAAGGGUACAGUCACAAUUAUAGUUCACGUGUAGUACUAGCACAUUUCUACAGAUCGAAAACUAGUAUUGCUCAACUGUUCGUGCCAUAGCAAAUACAGCAAGUAUGUUACCAUCAGGGCACUGGUCCAAUGUGAAUUCUAGCAAGAUAAAAUACAGAACAUGAAAACAGGACACCAAAACUCCCAGGUACUAAUUUUUUCAUAUGCAAGUAUUAACAGUCAUGUGGAAACUUAUUUUUACUUGGUAAACAUGAAUAUGUUUAUAAUCAGGAAACGUCGGAAAAGAGAGCACCUCGUUUGUCUAUUUUCCAAUAUUACUGCUCCAGCUGAGGAUAAACUUUUACCCUUAUGAUUUAGCUAUUCUGCUGAUAGAAGUUUGCUCCAGCCGCGAAUUCUUUACUUGCAAUAGAAGUACCAGCAUUAUCAGAGUAUACCUCUGGAAGGUAUGGUCCUGAAUAUAUGUUGACACGACGAGAAUUAUCAUCUUGUUUG